UACGGAGGGGGCAAGCGUUAUCCGGAUUCACUGGGCUUAAAGGGUGCGUAGGCGGUCUGUUAAGUCAGCGGUGAAAGCCUGGAGCUCAACUCCAGAAUUGCCAUUGAUACUGACGGACUUGAAUCAAGUUGAGGUGGAUGGAAUAUUACAUGUAGCGGUGAAAUGCUUAGAUAUGUAAUAGAACACCAAUUGCGAAGGCAGUUCACUGAGCUUGCAUUGACACUGAGGCACGAAAGCGUGGGGAUCAAACAGG
RNAcentral lists this ribosomal RNA (253 nucleotides) under uncultured bacterium. RNAcentral describes it as "partial 16S ribosomal RNA". It matches the Rfam family "Bacterial small subunit ribosomal RNA", at positions 524 to 776 of the family's 1533-position model. The record is from RNAcentral.